This 440-nucleotide ribosomal RNA is filed under the name uncultured bacterium. RNAcentral's name for it is "partial 16S ribosomal RNA". It matches the Rfam family "Bacterial small subunit ribosomal RNA", at positions 338 to 795 of the family's 1533-position model. The record is from RNAcentral.
CCUACGGGGGGCUGCAGUGGGGAAUAUUGCACAAUGGGGGAAACUCUGAUGCAGCGACGCCGCGUGAGUGAUGAAGGAUUUCGGUACGUAAAGCUCUAUCAGCAGGGAAGAAAAUGACGGUACCUGACUAAGAAGCCCCGUCUCAAUAUGUUCCAGCAGCCGCGGUAAUACGUCGGUGGCCAGCGUUAUGCGGAUUUACUGGGGGUAAAGGGAGCGUAGGCGGGUGAGCAAGCCAGAUGUGAAAGCCCGGGGCUCAACCCCGGGACUGCAUUGGAAACUGUGUAGCUGGAGGGUCGGAGAGGCGGGCGGAAUUCCAAGUGUAGCGGUGAAAUGCGUAGAUAUUAGGAGGAACACCAGUGGCGAAGGCGGCCUUCUGGACGGUAACUGACGCUGAGGCUCGAAAGCGUGGGGAGCAAACAGGAUUAGAUACCCUGGUAGUC